RNAcentral lists this ribosomal RNA (541 nucleotides) under uncultured bacterium. Its description in RNAcentral is "bacterial SSU rRNA". It matches the Rfam family "Bacterial small subunit ribosomal RNA", at positions 119 to 674 of the family's 1533-position model. The record is from RNAcentral.
GGGUGAUCUGCCCUGCACUUCGGGAUAAGCCUGGGAAACUGGGUCUAAUACCGGAUAUGACCUCCUAUCGCAUGGUGGGUGGUGGAAAGAUUUAUCGGUGCAGGAUGGGCCCGCGGCCUAUCAGCUUGUUGGUGGGGUAAUGGCCUACCAAGGCGACGACGGGUAGCCGACCUGAGAGGGUGACCGGCCACACUGGGACUGAGACACGGCCCAGACUCCUACGGGAGGCAGCAGUGGGGAAUAUUGCACAAUGGGCGAAAGCCUGAUGCAGCGACGCCGCGUGAGGGAUGACGGCCUUCGGGUUGUAAACCUCUUUCAGCAGGGACGAAGCGCAAGUGACGGUACCUGCAGAAGAAGCACCGGCUAACUACGUGCCAGCAGCCGCGGUAAUACGUAGGGUGCAAGCGUUGUCCGGAAUUACUGGGCGUAAAGAGUUCGUAGGCGGUUUGUCGCGUCGUUUGUGAAAACCAGCAGCUCAACUGCUGGCUUGCAGGCGAUACGGGCAGACUUGAGUACUGCAGGGGAGACUGGAAUUCCUGGU